AACCUUAUGGACCUGCGGGCGUAUACCUGCGGAGGGAUCAUUACCGAGUUUACAACUCCCAAACCCCUGUGAACAUACCUAUACGUUGCCUCGGCGGAUCAGCCCGCGCCCUGUAAAACGGGACGGCCCGCCCGAGGACCCUAAACUCUGUUUUUAGUGGAACUUCUGAGUAAAACAAACAAAUAAAUCAAAACUUUUAGCAAUGGAUCU
This 210-nucleotide unclassified non-coding RNA is filed under the name soil metagenome. RNAcentral's name for it is "partial contains 5.8S ribosomal RNA, internal transcribed spacer 2, and large subunit ribosomal RNA". The record is from RNAcentral.